UGCNNGUCGUACGAGAGUUUUUAACUCAAGUGGCGGACGGGUGAGUAACACGUAAGAAUUUGCCUUUAGGAGGGGGAUAACAACUGGAAACGGUUGCUAAUACCCCAUAUGCUUUCGAGUGAAAUGGAUUUUCCGCCUAAAGAGAAGCUUGCGGCUGAUUAGCUUGUUGGUGAGGUAAUGGCUCACCAAGGCGACGAUCAGUAUCUGGUUUGAGAGGACGAUCAGACACACUGGAACUGAGACACGGUCCAGACUCCUACGGGAGGCAGCAGUAGGGAAUUUUCCGCAAUGGGCGAAAGCCUGACGGAGCAAUACCGCGUGAGGGAUGACUGCCUAUGGGUUGUAAACCUCUUUUUUCAGGGAGGAAUAAAUGACGUGUACCUGAAGAAUAAGCAUCGGCUAACUCCGUGCCAGCAGCCGCGGUAAGACGGAGGAUGCAAGUGUUAUCCGGAAUCACUGGGCGUAAAGCGUCUGUAGGUGGUUAAAUAAGUCAACUGUUAAAUCUUGAGGCUCAACCUCAAAAUCGCAGUCGAAACUAUUUGACUAGAGUAUAGUAGGGGUAAAGGGAAUUUCCAGUGGAGCGGUGAAAUGCGUAGAGAUUGGAAAGAACACCGAUGGCGAANGCACUUUACUGGGCUAUUACUAACACUCAGAGACGAAAGCUAGGGUAGCAAAUGGGANUAGAUACCCCAGUAGUCCUAGCUGUAAACAAUGGAUACUAGAUGUUGAACAGAUCGACUUGUGCAGUAUCAAAGCUAACGCGUUAAGUAUCCCGCCUGGGANNUAUGCUCGCAAGANUGAAACUCAAAGGAAUUGACGGGGGNCCGCACAAGCGG
RNAcentral lists this ribosomal RNA (836 nucleotides) under uncultured bacterium. RNAcentral's name for it is "bacterial SSU rRNA". It matches the Rfam family "Bacterial small subunit ribosomal RNA", at positions 56 to 932 of the family's 1533-position model. The record is from RNAcentral.